UUCCUUACCUGGCAAGGGAGAUUCCAUGAUCACAAAGGUGGUUUUCCCAGGGCGAGGCUUUCCAUUGCAUUCCAAAUGUGCUGACCCCUGCGAUUUCCCCAAAUGUGGGAGACGCGACUGCAUAAUUUGUGAUUGUGGGGAACUGCAUUCAUGCUUUUCCCUA
This 163-nucleotide small nuclear RNA is filed under the name Moschus moschiferus (Siberian musk deer). RNAcentral describes it as "U1 spliceosomal RNA (ENSMMSG00000005833.1)". It matches the Rfam family "U1 spliceosomal RNA". From Rfam's summary of the family: U1 is a small nuclear RNA (snRNA) component of the spliceosome (involved in pre-mRNA splicing). Its 5' end forms complementary base pairs with the 5' splice junction, thus defining the 5' donor site of an intron. Lineage: Eukaryota; Metazoa; Chordata; Mammalia; Artiodactyla; Moschidae. The record is from Rfam by way of RNAcentral.